This is an RNA transcript of Oncorhynchus kisutch (coho salmon), 3573 nucleotides long. It is a transcript of the gene named O-sialoglycoprotein endopeptidase-like 1, with no coding region annotated. The record is from RefSeq and is a predicted model, not a curated record. NCBI's taxonomy places the organism in Eukaryota, Metazoa, Chordata, Actinopteri, Salmoniformes, Salmonidae. The transcript has 9 exons.
ACACAAGCUCCUCAGAAGUACAAGCGUGAGGUCGUGGAGCUCCGCACAAAAAAAUUCAGCACCGCAAUUUUAGCUUUUGCGACAAAUGCAAACGUAUUUAAUUGUCACUGACAGUGGCAUUGUCGUGAGACUUAAAAUCAAGUUAUUAAUGAAUGACAUACCUUUAGAAAAUACUAAUAGACCAUCGUAAUGGUCCCUGGUAGCAGAGCUAUUUUCCUCGCCUCUUGCGAAUCUCUACGGAUAGCGGUGCUUACCAAAUUUCAGUAAUUUAGCAUGUAUUUUGGCUAGUGCAGGAAAAUCGGGUUUAGUGAAAUAACAUGUUUGCAUAUAAAGCUUCGGCUCAACAGGGCACACGUAUGUUUAGAGCCAAGAUUUUAAGCAAAUGUGCUUUUAGAAGAAAAAUGAGUUCCAGGCUUGUUCUCGGCAUUGAGACGAGCUGUGACGAGACAGGUGCGGCUGUAAUGGAUGAAACAGGCUUAAUCCUUGGAGAAUCUCUUCAUUCACAAAAAGAGGUGCACAUGAAGACUGGUGGGAUUAUUCCCACUGUUGCCCAACGGCUCCACAGAGAGAACAUAGGCCGCGUCGUCCAGGAGGCCAUGGAGAGGAGUGGCGUCACCCAGAGUCAACUGUCUGCUGUAGCCACCACAGUGAAGCCGGGCCUGGCCCUGAGUCUGGGGAUAGGCCUGGACUUUAGCCUGAACUUUGUAAAGCUACACCAGAAGCCCUUCAUCCCCAUCCACCACAUGGAGGCCCAUGCCCUGACAGUCAGGAUGCUCCAGCCUGUAGUAUUCCCCUUCCUCGUCCUCCUAGUCUCCGGAGGUCACUCUCUCUUGGCUCUGGCCAGAGGAAUCGAUGACUUUCUUCUCCUGGGUCAAACACUGGAUGAAGCUCCGGGGGACACUAUGGACAAGGUGGCAAGACGUUUGUCACUCAUCAAACACCCAAAGUGCUCCAUGAUAAGUGGGGGUCAAGCAAUAGAGAUUCUGGCUCGAGAUGGAGACAGGUUGAAGUUUCUCUUCAAGCCACCAAUGGGAGCGCAAUAUGACUGUAACUUCUCAUUUGCUGGUCUGCGAAAUCAGGUGACGAUGUCAAUACAGAAAAAAGAGGAAGAGGAAGGUAAUAAAUAAUUCAUAAAGAUAUAAUAUGCAUUUAUAUCAUAACCUUUCCUUAAUCAACUAAUAUAAUCAGAUCACUUAAAUUGAAGGACAAUUCCACCCAAAAAAACAAUCUUUUGGUAUUUGUUUCAUUAGUCCAUUGUUGAUAUCGGCCCAACAUGUUUUGCAUGUCAGCCAGCCGUCAAGGUUUCGAGAUGUAUAACUUUCAAAAUACAGAAAUCCCAGCUAUAUUUCUUUAUUUUGAAAGUUAUAUCUUGAUCCUUGAUUGCUGAUAUGCAAAACAUUUUGGGACUAUAUCAACAAUGGACUAAUGAAACAAAUACCAAAAGACAAGUUUUGUGUGAAAAUGCACCUACAUGUUUUUUUUCAUCCAAGGUGUGGAGCAGGGAACUUUGUUGUCAUGUGUUAAUGACAUAGCUGCUGCUACGCAGCACACAGUGGCCUCUCACAUUGCCAAGCGCACACAUCGUGCCAUUUUGUUCUGUAAGGCCAAAGACCUUCUGCCUUCCUGCAAUCCAACACUGGUGGUGUCAGGAGGAGUUGCCAGUAACCAGUACAUCCGAAAGAUUUUGAAGAUUGUCACAGACACCACUGGAUUACAUUUGCUUUGUCCUCCAUCCAAGUUUUGUACUGACAAUGGAGUCAUGAUCGCAUGGAAUGGAGUUGAGAGACUGAGGGAAGGAAAGGGCAUCCUGUCCCAUACUGAGGAGGUCAACUAUGAGCCCAAAGCUCCCCUGGGUGUGAACAUAACAGCAGAAGUGAAGGAGGCAGCUAUCAAACUUCCACCAUUAAAGCUGAGGGUUACGGACUGACGUUCACUUAUGUACAUAUCCAUAUAAUUCCUACUAUUUACCAUUAAACUUUUGAAAUACAUCCUGGCAGAAAGGACUCCAUUCUGUGUUAGGUGUUUCAUUUAGUUUUUUUUAUUCAAUCGACUUCCAAUAUAUUAUACCAUUAAGUCAGUCAUUCCCAUUAAUAAUAUCAAUGUAAUAUAUUCAUCUUGAACAUAAAUAGAACGGCUCCCUGAGUCAUCAUUUCACUACAACUUUAAGCUAGCCCAGUCAGGCUAGAUCCUAGGCUGACCUCCAGGGUCACUGCUUUUGCCGGGGCCACUGGCUGUCCUUAUCCAGCCUCAGUGACUCCAGGGUGGGCUGGGAGCUAUGGGUUGGCCCCUCUCCCUGCAGCCUAACCUUGGGGUUGGCUGUCCUGCUCCUCUGGGGUUGAAGCUGGAGAACUGGAGCCGAGCUGGUCCUCCCAAAGUGGCCUGCAGACACUGACAGGCCAGGAGUGCGGCUUGUCUUUUUGGAUAAACCUGCCGUAGGUAGAGGCGACAAAGACGAUUGCGACUUUUUAUUAUAUGAAAUAGAUUCAAAUAAUGAUGUGUACAGCAUAACAAAAUGUACCUUUUUUGUUGCGCUGAGGAACAGGUGGGCCACCAUUUAUCUCCAAACUGUUUUAAAAAGGACAGAAAUGAUUGUUAUCCCAGUUAGAAAUAUGAAAGCAUAGCUUUUUAGGGCAAAAAAAACGAACGUACCUUAGUGAUGGCAGCCCCACUAUUUUCUGCCUUUCGAACUCUGCAGUAAAAAUGUGUGAGAUCUUGGCAUCCUCGAUGAGAUGCUGGGUCAAAAGGUUGUACAUAGAUGGAGUGUUUCGACAUUCCACCAACAAGAGGCGAUGUGCGUGACGGUUAAAGGUGAGGUAGCCGAGGGCACUUGAAGAUGCCGUUCGCACCUGAAGAUAUUCAAGAUUUUACCACAAUGCUUGUAUCAAAAAUCUGCACAUCGUAACCUGAAAUAUGUCAAGUUGGAUAGCAUUUGAUGGUUGUAGAAUGAAUUAUCUUGAUAGUCUGUUAGAUUUCAGGCAAUAGUCAUAGACAGGAAUGCUCCCCCUCACCACAAGUCCCAUCCUUACCUCUUCCUCCUCAGAAUACAGGUGAGCACAUAGGUGACCAACAGCUCCCAUGGUGACAAUAGCAUCAGGAAUACCUGCCCGGGUGUGAGCCAGACUGGCUAGCAACUGAGCUAUGGCAGAAAUGUAUGCAGUAAGUACUGGGCUGAAGUUACCUGUCAGGACCACAGUGUUGGGAUUAGUGGACUGCAGAAGGUCUACAAGGACAGUCACCCCUCUGGCAGACAGAGUCACCUGGUCCGUGUCUGUGAUCACUUUGGCCAGCACAACUAUCUGGAGAGACCAGUUACCACAAAACGAAAAGGUGUUGGGAUUCCCAAUGGAGGGAUAGACAGACAGGCAUUCCUGACUGCAUGCCUUCCUGUGCUCUGGCUGCGGGUGAUGAGUCUAGCAGAGGAAAGCCGUCUGGGGGCAGGAGGCGGCUGGUCUUGUGGUGACAGAGGCAGCGUACCCACGAGGAUCUUCCAGACAGGCAGGUCCGCCAGGCCCAGCGAGAUGAGGUGCCUGAGGACUUUCGGGUGGAAGUAGAGGGCGGCCAGCUGCACGACGU